AACGUAGGAGACAAACGUUAUCCGGAAUUAUUGGGCGUAAAGAGCUCGUAGGCGGUUUGUCGCGUCUGCCGUGAAAGUCCGGGGCUCAACUCCGGAUCUGCGGUGGGUACGGGCAGACUAGAGUGAUGUAGGGGAGACUGGAAUUCCUGGUGUAGCGGUGAAAUGCGCAGAUAUCAGGAGGAACACCGAUGGCGAAGGCAGGUCUCUGGGCAUUAACUGACGCUGAGGAGCGAAAGCAUGGGGAGCGAACAGG
This 253-nucleotide ribosomal RNA is filed under the name uncultured bacterium. Its description in RNAcentral is "partial 16S ribosomal RNA". It matches the Rfam family "Bacterial small subunit ribosomal RNA", at positions 524 to 776 of the family's 1533-position model. The record is from RNAcentral.